UUCGGGGUACUCGAGUGGCGAACGGGUGAGUAACACGUGGGUGAUCUGCCCUGCACUCUGGGAUAAGCCUGGGAAACUGGGUCUAAUACCGGAUAGGACCACACACUUCAUGGUGAGUGGUGCAAAGCUUUUGCGGUGUGGGAUGAGCCCGCGGCCUAUCAGCUUGUUGGUGGGGUAAUGGCCCACCAAGGCGACGACGGGUAGCCGGCCUGAGAGGGUGACCGGCCACACUGGGACUGAGAUACGGCCCAGACUCCUACGGGAGGCAGCAGUGGGGAAUAUUGCACAAUGGGCGCAAGCCUGAUGCAGCGACGCCGCGUGAGGGAUGACGGCCUUCGGGUUGUAAACCUCUUUCAGUAGGGACGAAGCGAAAGUGACGGUACCUACAGAAGAAGGACCGGCCAACUACGUGCCAGCAGCCGCGGUAAUACGUAGGGUCCGAGCGUUGUCCGGAAUUACUGGGCGUAAAGAGCUCGUAGGUGGUUUGUCGCGUUGUUCGUGAAAACUCACAGCUUAACUGUGGGCGUGCGGGCGAUACGGGCAGACUAGAGUACUGCAGGGGAGACUGGAAUUCCUGGUGUAGCGGUGGAAUGCGCAGAUAUCAGGAGGAACACCGGUGGCGAAGGCGGGUCUCUGGGCAGUAACUGACGCUGAGGAGCGAAAGCGUGGGUAGCGAACAGGAUUAGAUACCCUGGUAGUCCACGCCGUAAACGGUGGGUACUAGGUGUGGGUUUCCUUCCUUGGGAUCCGUGCCGUAGCUAACGCAUUAAGUACCCCGCCUGGGGAGUACGGUCGCAAGACUAAAACUCAAAGGAAUUGACGGGGGCCCGCACAAGCGGCGGAGCAUGUGGAUUAAUUCGAUGCAACGCGAAGAACCUUACCUGGGUUUGACAUGCACAGGACGUACCUAGAGAUAGGUAUUCCCUUGUGGCCUGUGUGCAGGUGGUGCAUGGCUGUCGUCAGCUCGUGUCGUGAGAUGUUGGGUUAAGUCCCGCAACGAGCGCAACCCUUGUCCUAUGUUGCCAGCGGGUAAUGCCGGGGACUCGUAGGAGACUGCCGGGGUCAACUCGGAGGAAGGUGGGGAUGACGUCAAGUCAUCAUGCCCCUUAUGUCCAGGGCUUCACACAUGCUACAAUGGCCAGUACAGAGGGCUGCGAAGCUGUAAGGUGGAGCGAAUCCCUUAAGCUGGUCUCAGUUCGGAUUGGGGUCUGCAACUCGACCCCAUGAAGUCGGAGUCGCUAGUAAUCGCAGAUCAGCAACGCUGCGGUGAAUACGUUCCCGGGCCUUGUACACACCGCCCGUCACGUCAUGAAAGUCGGUAACACCCGAAGCCA
RNAcentral lists this ribosomal RNA (1334 nucleotides) under Mycobacterium sp. DWMJ-917B2. RNAcentral's name for it is "bacterial SSU rRNA". It matches the Rfam family "Bacterial small subunit ribosomal RNA", at positions 81 to 1429 of the family's 1533-position model. Lineage: Bacteria; Bacillati; Actinomycetota; Actinomycetes; Mycobacteriales; Mycobacteriaceae. The record is from RNAcentral.